This 1284-nucleotide ribosomal RNA is filed under the name Micrococcus sp. EN-31. Its description in RNAcentral is "bacterial SSU rRNA". It matches the Rfam family "Bacterial small subunit ribosomal RNA", at positions 56 to 1351 of the family's 1533-position model. The record is from RNAcentral. Lineage: Bacteria; Bacillati; Actinomycetota; Actinomycetes; Micrococcales; Micrococcaceae.
UGCAAGUCGAACGAUGAAGCCCAGCUUGCUGGGUGGAUUAGUGGCGAACGGGUGAGUAACACGUGAGUAACCUGCCCUUAACUCUGGGAUAAGCCUGGGAAACUGGGUCUAAUACCGGAUAGGAGCGCCUACCGCAUGGUGGGUGUUGGAAAGAUUUAUCGGUUUUGGAUGGACUCGCGGCCUAUCAGCUUGUUGGUGAGGUAAUGGCUCACCAAGGCGACGACGGGUAGCCGGCCUGAGAGGGUGACCGGCCACACUGGGACUGAGACACGGCCCAGACUCCUACGGGAGGCAGCAGUGGGGAAUAUUGCACAAUGGGCGCAAGCCUGAUGCAGCGACGCCGCGUGAGGGAUGACGGCCUUCGGGUUGUAAACCUCUUUCAGUAGAGAAGAAGCGAAAGUGACGGUACCUGCAGAAGAAGCACCGGCUAACUACGUGCCAGCAGCCGCGGUAAUACGUAGGGUGCGAGCGUUAUCCGGAAUUAUUGGGCGUAAAGAGCUCGUAGGCGGUUUGUCGCGUCUGUCGUGAAAGUCCGGGGCUUAACCCCGGAUCUGCGGUGGGUACGGGCAGACUAGAGUGCAGUAGGGGAGACUGGAAUUCCUGGUGUAGCGGUGGAAUGCGCAGAUAUCAGGAGGAACACCGAUGGCGAAGGCAGGUCUCUGGGCUGUAACUGACGCUGAGGAGCGAAAGCAUGGGGAGCGAACAGGAUUAGAUACCCUGGUAGUCCAUGCCGUAAACGUUGGGCACUAGGUGUGGGGACCAUUCCACGGUUUCCGCGCCGCAGCUAACGCAUUAAGUGCCCCGCCUGGGGAGUACGGCCGCAAGGCUAAAACUCAAAGGAAUUGACGGGGGCCCGCACAAGCGGCGGAGCAUGCGGAUUAAUUCGAUGCAACGCGAAGAACCUUACCAAGGCUUGACAUGUUCUCGAUCGCCGUAGAGAUACGGUUUCCCCUUUGGGGCGGGUUCACAGGUGGUGCAUGGUUGUCGUCAGCUCGUGUCGUGAGAUGUUGGGUUAAGUCCCGCAACGAGCGCAACCCUCGUUCCAUGUUGCCAGCACGUAAUGGUGGGGACUCAUGGGAGACUGCCGGGGUCAACUCGGAGGAAGGUGAGGACGACGUCAAAUCAUCAUGCCCCUUAUGUCUUGGGCUUCACGCAUGCUACAAUGGCCGGUACAAUGGGUUGCGAUACUGUGAGGUGGAGCUAAUCCCAAAAAGCCGGUCUCAGUUCGGAUUGGGGUCUGCAACUCGACCCCAUGAAGUCGGAGUCGCUAGUAAUCGCAGAUCA